CCUACGGGAGGCAGCAGUGAGGAAUAUUGGUCAAUGGGCGCGAGCCUGAACCAGCCAAGUAGCGUGAAGGAUGACUGCCCUACGGGUUGUAAACUUCUUUUAUAAAGGAAUAAAGUGAGGCACGUGCGCCUUUUUGUAUGUACUUUAUGAAUAAGGAUCGGCCAACGCCGGGCCAUCAGCCGCGGUAAUACGGAGGAUCCGAGCGUUAUCCGGAUUUAUUGGGUUUAAAGGGAGCGUAGAUGGGUUGUUAAGUCAGUUGUGAAAGUUUGCGGCUCAACCGUAAAAUUGCAAUUGAUACUGGCAGUCUUGAGUACAGUUGAGGUAGGCGGAAUUCGUGGUGUAGCGGUGAAAUGCUUAGAUAUCACGAAGAACACCGAUUGCGAAGGCAGCUAACUAAACUGCAACUGACAUUGAUGCUCGAAAGUGUGGGUAGCAAACAGGAUUAGAUACCCGAGUAGUC
RNAcentral lists this ribosomal RNA (460 nucleotides) under uncultured bacterium. Its description in RNAcentral is "partial 16S ribosomal RNA". It matches the Rfam family "Bacterial small subunit ribosomal RNA", at positions 338 to 795 of the family's 1533-position model. The record is from RNAcentral.